AUACGGAGGGGACUAGCGUUGUUCGGAAUUACUGGGCGUAAAGAGUUCGUAGGCGGACUGAUAAGUAAGAGGUGAAAUCCCAGGGCUCAACCCUGGAACUGCCUUUUAAACUGUCAGUCUAGAGACCGGAAGAGGUUAGGGGAAUACCUAGUGUAGAGGUGAAAUUCGUAGAUAUUAGGUGGAACACCAGUGGCGAAGGCGCCUAACUGGUCCGGUACUGACGCUGAGGAACGAAAGCGUGGGUAGCAAACAGGAUUAGAAACCCUAGUAGUCC
This 274-nucleotide ribosomal RNA is filed under the name uncultured bacterium. RNAcentral describes it as "partial 16S ribosomal RNA". It matches the Rfam family "Bacterial small subunit ribosomal RNA", at positions 523 to 796 of the family's 1533-position model. The record is from RNAcentral.